AUCCAGCUGACGAGUCUCAACUAGGGUGGAACGCGUGUCCUGGAU
This is a non-coding RNA of Schistosoma mansoni, 45 nucleotides long. The record is from Rfam. Lineage: Eukaryota; Metazoa; Platyhelminthes; Trematoda; Strigeidida; Schistosomatidae.